UCAUCAACCGUCUCUGAGCCCUAGCGUCUACCUUUAUUCACCCUCAGAGAAAACAACUGGAGCUUCGAGGAUCACUUUGAGCACAAAUUCAGCGUGAUCAGGCUGAUCAAGACCCUUCAACAAGGAGUGCAUAACUAAAGUCAAGGGGUUUCCUAACGUCCGGUUCCUCUUGGUCUCCAUACUUUUUCAGGUCAUUAGAUUUCAUCACACAGAUUUUCCUCUCCUGAAGAAGGCCUAAGGUCUGUCUGAGGG
Molecule: long non-coding RNA, 252 nt
Organism: Alosa alosa (allis shad)
Lineage: Eukaryota; Metazoa; Chordata; Actinopteri; Clupeiformes; Clupeidae
Exons: 3
Source: RefSeq, a predicted model, not a curated record